UUUCGUCAACACAACACACGCGCGCGGGGGCGUUGUGCAGGAGGGUCCCGCUUGAUCCAUGUUAUUUGCUGUGAUUUUAUUUUCUCUGAACGUAGCUUGACUUGAAAUUAGGUGCUGAAUAAACGAUUCACCAGCUUGAUAAGUCGCCGCCAUGGCCGAGGCACACUCGGCAGUUGCCUUCAGCUUCUCGGUGUCGCACGAGGGCGUCGACCUCAACUACGACCAUGAGAUGCUCGGCGUGGUGCUCAUGUCAGGCGUGCGCUCCUGGAGACGGCGCAUCCACCGCUUCUUCAACGGUUUCCGUAACGGCAUCUACCCGGUGCCGCUGUCCAGUCUGGGACUGACGGUGGCCACCGUCGGCGCCAUGUACUACGCCGGCUACGACGGCACCGGCGGACUCACCGACUUCUUCAUGAGACACGCGCCGCGACUGGUGUCUGCCGAGGAGCACGUGCUGAAGGCCGUGUCGGUGACGGCCGCCAGCACCACCAUCUGGCUCAGCGUGGCGCUGGCGCUCAAAUACACCCUGCGUCUGCUCUUCAUGUACAGGGGGUGGAUGUAUGAGACCCGCACCCGCAAAAUGUCGCUCAAAACCAAGAUCUGGUAUGUUCUGGUGAAGAUUCUCACCAGCAUCAGCCGUCCUCAGCUGUACAGUUUCCAGGGCUGUCUGCCCAGCCUGCCGCUGCCCAGUGUCGAGGACACCACCAAACGGUACCUGCGCUCGGUGCGUCCCCUGCUCGAUGACGCCGAGUACGAGCGGAUGGUGAAACUGACGGAGGAGUUCCGCACCUCGCUCGGGCCGCGGCUGCAGCGCUACCUCUGGCUCAAGUCAUGGUGGACCACCAACUACGUGUCUGACUGGUGGGAGGAGUACGUCUACCUGCGCGGCCGCAGCGGCAUCAUGGUCAACUCCAACUUUUACGGCAUCGACGCCAUCCUGAUGCAGCCGUCCACCAUCCAGGCGGCUCGGGCGGCCAACAUCACACACGCCACCAUGCUGUUCCGGCGCGCCAUCGACCGGCAGGAGAUCGAGCCGAUUACGGUGCAGGGUAUGGUGCCGCUGUGCUCGUGGCAGUACGAGCGGACCUUCAACACCACCCGCGUCCCGGGCAUCGAGACGGAUCGGAUCGUCCAUUACAGCGACUCGACACACAUUGUCGUCAUCCACAACGGCAAGUACUACAAGAUGCAGGUGUAUGACAUCAAGAAGCGGCUCAUGUCGCCGGCCACACUCGAAAUGCAGUUCCAGCGGAUCCUGGACGACGACGAGACGACGCCCGACAAGGGCGAGGAGCAGCUGGGCGCGCUGACGGCCGCCGACCGCUCUCACUGGUACCUGACGCGGCGCGACUUCUUCAGCCGCGGCACCAACCGCGCCAGCCUGCUGGCCAUCGAGAAGGCCGCCUUCAUCGUCUGCCUCGACGACGUCGAUCUCGAGUUCGACAAGAACGACCAUACCAAGCUGGACGAGUUCGGCCGCUGGUGUCUGCACGGCAACGGCUGCAACCGCUGGUACGACAAGUCGCUCAACCUGAUCGUCGGCAGGAACGGACGGAUCGGCUUCAACGGCGAGCACUCGUGGGCGGACGCGCCCGUUCUGAGCCUUGUCUGGGAGACGGCCAUGAUAAAAGAUAGAUUCUUCCUCGGAUACACGGAGAGCGGCCACACGAUCGGCGAGGCCGACCCGGACGCCAUCCCGCCGGUGAAGCUGCGCUGGGACCUCAAACGAAAGUGUCUGGACGCCAUCGACCGCAGCUACCGGGAGGCGCAGCUGACCCUGGAUGACGUCGACCUGCGCCUGCUGAUGCACGACGCCUUCGGAAAGGGCUUCAUGAAAAAGUGCAAAGUGAGCCCGGACGCCUUCAUCCAGAUGGCGCUGCAGCUCGCCUACUACCGGGACUCUGGCCGGUUCCGUCUGACGUACGAGGCGUCGAUGACGCGCCUGUUCCGCGAGGGUCGCACAGAGACGGUCCGGCCCUGCACCAUCGAGUCCUCCGCCUGGGUCAAGGCCAUGACCUCGGGCAAAGUGGACCGCGCCGAGCAGAUCCGUCUGUUCCGCGCGGCGUGCGACUUCCACCAGCGCGGCUACCAGGACGCCAUGAUGGGAAAGGGCAUCGACCGUCACCUGUUCUGCCUGUACGUGGUCUCCAAGUACCUCGAGGUCGACUCGCCCUUCCUCAAGGAGGUUCUGAGCGAGCCGUGGCGCCUCUCCACCUCUCAGACGCCGCACGGCCAGACCAACCUGCUCGACCUGAAGAAGCACCCGGGCUGCGUGUCGGCCGGCGGCGGCUUCGGGCCGGUGGCCGACGACGGCUACGGCGUCAGCUACAUCAUCGCCGGAGAGGACAUCGUCUUCUUCCACGUCAGCAGCAAGAAGAGCUCCGCAGACACGGACUCGAACCGCCUGGCCGGCCAGAUCCAGCGCGCCCUGGCAGAUAUCCGCACCAUGUUCGAACAGGGCGGACAGUGACGUCACCCACAUACACCUCUAGUGACGUCAUAUUCACCCGUAGCCGUAGACGCGGGCCCACACCCACACAUAGAGACUGGGGCCAUAUCCCGAGACGAUAGGUCAUUUAGACCGAACAGGCAGCAGAGAUGGAAAGCAUCCAGACAACACACACUUUAAGCUGAGCGUUACGACGUUACGGCAAAGCGUUUCAUCUCGUGACACUUACUCUCGGCACUGUUCGUCCGCGUCCGCCCUUACCGCGUGCCUGGUGCGGCGGCCGGUAGUCUGACAGACUGACUGACAGACUGCGUGGCCGGCAGUCUGACCGACUGACUGACUGUGCGGUGGCCGGUAGUCCGACUAACAGACUGCGGCGUGGAUGGCGCGCGAGAGACGGGUAGUGGUCGCCCGGGGGGCCGCGCGCGACCUGCGGGUCACUCUGACCCGCGUCCAACAAUGCAAUGCGCCGGUGGGAGCUCUAUGUGACGGCGGCCCGGGAGGGGGAGGGGGAGGGGGGGUUCUCUGUAGUGACCGAUAUCAAUGCAAUACGGCGGCGAGCGCUGAGGCCCGAGACGGCCACCUCUGUUUUAGAACGCCGGACCGAGUGCGAGGUAUUUUGACGACUCUUUCAGCGCGAGGUUUUACUGGUAGGACGGGGUCCGGCGGCGCCCGAUUUCGACUAUGUAGUUUGUGUGCCGUGUGCGCGGUAGCUGUGUCUGUGUGUCUGUGAGUGAACUGGUGAGCCGCCCGGCGAGGUUUGUCCCCAAUAUAGCUCAGACGUCGGUUCGGCACUCUGCGCUGGAGACUGGACGAGGUUUGUCCCCAAUAUAGCUCAGACGUCGGUACGGCACUCUGCGCUGGAUACGGGACGAGGUUUGUCCCCAAUAUAGCUCAGACGUCGGUACGGCACUCUACGCUGGAGACUGGACGAGGUUUGUCCCCAAUAUAGCUCAGACGUCGGUACGGCACUCUGCGCUGGAGACUGGACGAGGUUUGUCCCCAAUAUAGCUCAGACGUCGGUACGGCACUCUGCGCUGGAUACGGGACGAGGUUUGUCCCCAAUAUAGCUCAGACGUCGGUACGGCACUCUACGCUGGAGACUGGACGAGGUUUGUCCCCAAUAUAGCUCAGACGUCGGUACGGCACUCUGCGCUGGAGACUGGACGAGGUUUGUCCCCAAUAUAGCUCAGACGUCGGUACGGCACUCUGCGCUGGAGACUGGACGAGGUUUGUCCCCAAUAUAGCUCAGACGUCGG
Amphibalanus amphitrite is the source of this 3708-nucleotide RNA transcript. It is a transcript of the gene named carnitine O-palmitoyltransferase 1, liver isoform-like, with no coding region annotated. The record is from RefSeq and is a predicted model, not a curated record. NCBI's taxonomy places the organism in Eukaryota, Metazoa, Arthropoda, Thecostraca, Balanomorpha, Balanidae. The transcript has 20 exons.